GUCUAUGGCCAUGCCACCCUGAACAAGCCCGAUCCCGUCUGAUCUCUGAAGCUAAGCAGGGUCAGGCUUGGUUAGUACUUGGAUGGGAGACCACCUAGGAAGACCAGGUGCUGUAGGCA
Molecule: ribosomal RNA, 119 nt
Filed under: Pteropus alecto (black flying fox)
Lineage: Eukaryota; Metazoa; Chordata; Mammalia; Chiroptera; Pteropodidae
Source: RNAcentral